UACGAAGGGGGCUAGCGUUGUUCGGAUUUACUGGGCGUAAAGCGCACGUAGGCGGAUCGUUAAGUCGGGGGUGAAAUCCUGGAGCUCAACUCCAGAACUGCCUUCGAUACUGGCGAUCUUGAGUCCGGAAGAGGUGAGUGGAACUCCUAGUGUAGAGGUGGAAUUCGUAGAUAUCGAGAAGAACACCGGUGGCGAAGGCGGCCAUCUGGACGGUGACUGACGCUGAGACGCGAAAGCGUGGGGGGCAAACAGG
This 253-nucleotide ribosomal RNA is filed under the name uncultured bacterium. RNAcentral's name for it is "partial 16S ribosomal RNA". It matches the Rfam family "Bacterial small subunit ribosomal RNA", at positions 524 to 776 of the family's 1533-position model. The record is from RNAcentral.